AUGAAAUCCUGGGAGUCUAGCAGCACCCUGAGGGAACAGAUAUGCCUUGCUGAGUGCCGGUCGCUCAUACGGAGCCACCGCCUCUUUCGAGAUAAUCGCGAGCUCGCCUGGUGCGAGCCCUUGCUUCACAUACUCUCUGGCCGCGUAACCAGCUGAGACGCCGCCGCCGAUGAUGAUGUACUUGAAGUGCUUCUCCGCCAUGGAUGGAUCUGAGGAUGAUGAGAAAUG
This 228-nucleotide unclassified non-coding RNA is filed under the name Hevea brasiliensis (rubber tree). The record is from RNAcentral. Lineage: Eukaryota; Viridiplantae; Streptophyta; Magnoliopsida; Malpighiales; Euphorbiaceae.